RNAcentral lists this ribosomal RNA (92 nucleotides) under Metamycoplasma faucium. RNAcentral's name for it is "Mycoplasma faucium partial 16S ribosomal RNA". It matches the Rfam family "Bacterial small subunit ribosomal RNA", at positions 923 to 1013 of the family's 1533-position model. The record is from RNAcentral. Lineage: Bacteria; Bacillati; Mycoplasmatota; Mycoplasmoidales; Metamycoplasmataceae.
GCACAAGCGGUGGAGCAUGUGGUUUAAUUUGAAGAUACGCGGAGAACCUUACCCACUCUUGACAUCCUUUGCAAAGCUAUAGAGAUAUAGUG